GAACAGGGUCAUGCUAUAUUAUAUUGCCCAGGCAGAAGAUCUGGAACUCCUGGGCUCGAGCUGUCCUCCCACCUCUGCCUCCCUAACAGCUGGGAUUAUAGGCGUGAGCCACUGCGCCCAGCCUGGAGAGGUUUUUAAAAUAAAAAUGUGAGGCUGGGCGUGGUGGCUCACACCUGUAAUCCCAGCACUUUGGGGGGGCCAAGGCGGGCAGAUCACGAGGUCAAGAGAUCGAGACCGUCCUGGCCAAUAUGGCAAAACCCCGUCCCUACUAAAAAUACAAAAAUUAGCCAGGCGUGGUGGCAGGCGCCUGUAAUCCCAGCUACUUGGGAGGCUUAGGCAGGAGAAUCGCUUGAACCCAGGAGGCAGAGGUUACAGUGAGGCAAGAUUGCACCACCGUACUCCAGCCUGGACAGAGUGAGACUCCGUCUCCAAAAAAAAGAGUGUAUUAAAGUCAUUAAGGUCCCCAGGCUAUAACAACAACAAAAAAAUGUGAUUUACAAAGAGAAAUCUACAGACUUGUCAACCAAAUGUAAUGUGUGAACUCUGGAUCCUACUCUGAAUACUGACCAAAUAUCUGACGACUGGAAGAACUCUUUGGGAAUUUUAUUUUUUCAAUUUGUUA
Molecule: long non-coding RNA, 622 nt
Filed under: Homo sapiens (human)
Lineage: Eukaryota; Metazoa; Chordata; Mammalia; Primates; Hominidae
Description: HSALNT0355495
Source: RNAcentral